AUGAACGCUGGCGGCGUGCCUAAUACAUGCAAGUCGAGCGAACAGACGAGGAGCUUGCUCCUCUGACGUUAGCGGCGGACGGGUGAGUAACACGUGGAUAACCUACCUAUAAGACUGGGAUAACUUCGGGAAACCGGAGCUAAUACCGGAUAAUAUAUUGAACCGCAUGGUUCAAUAGUGAAAGACGGUUUUGCUGUCACUUAUAGAUGGAUCCGCGCCGCAUUAGCUAGUUGGUAAGGUAACGGCUUACCAAGGCAACGAUGCGUAGCCGACCUGAGAGGGUGAUCGGCCACACUGGAACUGAGACACGGUCCAGACUCCUACGGGAGGCAGCAGUAGGGAAUCUUCCGCAAUGGGCGAAAGCUUGACGGAGCAACGCCGCGUGAGUGAUGAAGGUCUUCGGAUCGUAAAACUCUGUUAUUAGGGAAGAACAAAUGUGUAAGUAACUAUGCACGUCUUGACGGUACCUAAUCAGAAAGCCACGGCUAACUACGUGCCAGCAGCCGCGGUAAUACGUAGGUGGCAA
This 526-nucleotide ribosomal RNA is filed under the name uncultured Staphylococcus sp. Its description in RNAcentral is "bacterial SSU rRNA". It matches the Rfam family "Bacterial small subunit ribosomal RNA", at positions 29 to 537 of the family's 1533-position model. The record is from RNAcentral. Lineage: Bacteria; Bacillati; Bacillota; Bacilli; Caryophanales; Staphylococcaceae.